GAUGAAGAACGCAGUGAAACGCGAUACGUAAUGUGAAUUGCAGAAUUCAGUGAAUCAUCGAAUCUUUGAACGCACAUUGCGCCCCCUGGUAUUCCGGGGGGCAUGCCUGUCCGAGCGUCAUUACAACCCUCAAGCUCAGCUUGGUGUUGGGCCCCGCCGCCCCGGCGGGCCCUAAAGUCAGUGGCGGUGCCGUCCGGCUCCGAGCGUAGUAAUUCUUCUCGCUCUGGAGGUCCGGUCGUGUGCUCGCCAGCAACCCCCAAUUUUUUUCAGGUUGACCUCGGAUCAGGUAGGGAUACCCGCUGAACUUAAGCAUAUCAAUAAGCGGAGGA
RNAcentral lists this unclassified non-coding RNA (329 nucleotides) under soil metagenome. RNAcentral describes it as "partial contains 5.8S ribosomal RNA, internal transcribed spacer 2, and large subunit ribosomal RNA". The stretch from base 1 to 120 matches the Rfam family "5.8S ribosomal RNA", at positions 35 to 154 of the family's 154-position model. The record is from RNAcentral.